GAUGAACGCUGACAGAAUGCUUAACACAUGCAAGUCAACUUGAACUUCGGUUUGGGUGGCGGACGGGUGAGUAACGCGUAAAGAACUUGCCUCACAGAUAGGGACAACAUUUGGAAACGAAUGCUAAUACCUGAUAUUAUGAUUAUAUGGCAUCGUAUAAUUAUGAAAGCUAUAUGCGCUGUGAGAGAGCUUUGCGUCCCAUUAGCUAGUUGGAGAGGUAACGGCUCACCAAGGCGAUGAUGGGUAGCCGGCCUGAGAGGGUGAUCGGCCACAAGGGAACUAGGACACGGCCCUUACUCCGACGGGAGGCAGCAGUGGGAAAUAUUGGACAAUGGACCAAGAGUCUGAUCCAGCAAUUCUGUGUGCACGAUGAAGUUUUUCGGAAUGUAAAGUGCUUUCAGUUGGGAAGAAAAAAAUGACGGUACCAACAGAAGAAGUGACGGCUAAAUACGUG
Molecule: ribosomal RNA, 454 nt
Filed under: uncultured bacterium
Lineage: Bacteria
Description: partial 16S ribosomal RNA
Rfam family: Bacterial small subunit ribosomal RNA
Source: RNAcentral